This 496-nucleotide ribosomal RNA is filed under the name uncultured bacterium. Its description in RNAcentral is "partial 16S ribosomal RNA". It matches the Rfam family "Bacterial small subunit ribosomal RNA", at positions 899 to 1397 of the family's 1533-position model. The record is from RNAcentral.
ACUCAAAUGAAUUGACGGGGGCCCGCACAAGCAGCGGAGCAUGUGGUUUAAUUCGAAGCAACGCGAAGAACCUUACCUAGACUUGACAUCUCCUGAAUUACUCGUAAUAGAGGAAGUCACUUCGGUGACAGGAAGACAGGUGGUGCAUGGUUGUCGUCAGCUCGUGUCGUGAGAUGUUGGGUUAAGUCCCGCAACGAGCGCAACCCUUAUUGUUAGUUGCUACCAUUUAGUUGAGCACUCUAGCGAGACUGCCCGGGUUAACCGGGAGGAAGGUGGGGAUGACGUCAAAUCAUCAUGCCCCUUAUGUCUAGGGCUACACACGUGCUACAAUGGCUGGUACAGAGAGAUGCAAUACCGUGAGGUGGAGCCAAACUUCAAAACCAGUCUCAGUUCGGAUUGUAGGCUGAAACUCGCCUACAUGAAGCUGGAGUUGCUAGUAAUCGCGAAUCAGAAUGUCGCGGUGAAUACGUUCCCGGGCCUUGUACACACCGCCCGU